Long non-coding RNA from Stomoxys calcitrans (stable fly), 362 nucleotides. RefSeq lists it as uncharacterized. Lineage: Eukaryota; Metazoa; Arthropoda; Insecta; Diptera; Muscidae. The transcript has 3 exons. The record is from RefSeq and is a predicted model, not a curated record.
AAAAAAAGGAUACAUUGUGUAAGGUAUACUUCGUUGAAGUCGAACAUAUUAUAUAUACAUUUAUAUAAACGUGAACUGACUAAAGAAGUGAUUGUAUUUGGUUUAGAGGAAUUAUCUUGUUCCACGUGAUUAGUGUCCCAGUUAAAUAUUUCCUUAGGACUGGGAACCUAAUUUGAAUCCCCUCCAAUUUUCUGGAGAAAAUUUUAAGUUGGUCCUUAUUAAGAAUAUUUGGAGCACGUGACUACCCAUGGUAUUUGGUUUAGCUGAGGUUCCAUGAUUUUUGGGACUCAAAACAUCUUUCCAUACCGAUUGUUUUACGGCAAACAUUUUUUAUUGUUUGCUGGGAUUUUUUUUUUUUUUUG